Molecule: small nuclear RNA, 104 nt
Organism: Suncus etruscus (white-toothed pygmy shrew)
Lineage: Eukaryota; Metazoa; Chordata; Mammalia; Eulipotyphla; Soricidae
Source: RefSeq, a predicted model, not a curated record
GUGCUCACUUCAGCAGCACAUAUACUAAAAUCAGAAUGAUACAGAGAAGAUUAACAUGGCCCCUGAAGGAAAAAAAUUAUCGCUAUGUAACUACUGUGAACUAU